This 458-nucleotide long non-coding RNA is filed under the name Brachypodium distachyon (stiff brome). RNAcentral describes it as "long non-coding RNA (BDIS_LNC005987)". Lineage: Eukaryota; Viridiplantae; Streptophyta; Magnoliopsida; Poales; Poaceae. The record is from RNAcentral.
CUCGUGUCAUUAGACAGCGACACCAAAACAUAAAGCUACUCCAGCAUCUUUCUGUACAAGUCAACCCUAAACCUAACGACCGCAAGUGGUAUAACAUCAUACUUGGACACGCAUGGUACCUUUUCAUAUUCCUUUAUUUUAACAAUAGUUCGUAUUUUCAUAAUAUUGUCUGACUGGCUUGCAGGCGCUGGUAUAAAAUAUCACAUAAAUUAAACUUCUACUGGAUCUAUGCGGCCUCUAUUAUAACUGGUCUUAAGAUUAACACGCUGAGGCAUCACACUGACGGCACGGAAGAGGAAGGUCUUGAAGGGAAGAAUAUAGCCUUGGGGGAUACGAACAAUGUUGAAGAACAAAAGGUUCAUGCUGAUUAGUUUCCUAGCACAAUAAGUAUGAAAUCUUGGUGAUCUUUGAUUGCACUGGUCCAGACUGAUACUGCAGCAAAGAAGGGACCAAGGCAG